UCAAGUGUAGUAUCUGUUCUUAUCAGUUUAAUAUCUGAUACGUGGGUCAUUGGCUCACACGAUAUUAAAUUAAUUUCUUUAAGGGGAGGGCCCAACACAGUAGCUUGCUACUGGGGUCUUCGCGCGUCGCCUCUGCGUUGCACUACUGCAUUGGCCUGGCGCACCCUCCAACUCCAGUUCAAAAUGCUUAAAAUGCCAGCCAUCUCAACCGUAACUCUAUGCUUAAACAGGAAGCCAAUCUUGAUAUUAUUCUAA
Molecule: long non-coding RNA, 255 nt
Filed under: Prunus dulcis (almond)
Lineage: Eukaryota; Viridiplantae; Streptophyta; Magnoliopsida; Rosales; Rosaceae
Description: sRNA ncRNA
Rfam family: U2 spliceosomal RNA (bases 1-169)
About the family: U2 is a small nuclear RNA (snRNA) component of the spliceosome (involved in pre-mRNA splicing).
Source: RNAcentral